This 635-nucleotide ribosomal RNA is filed under the name uncultured Erythrobacter sp. Its description in RNAcentral is "bacterial SSU rRNA". It matches the Rfam family "Bacterial small subunit ribosomal RNA", at positions 11 to 692 of the family's 1533-position model. The record is from RNAcentral. Lineage: Bacteria; Pseudomonadati; Pseudomonadota; Alphaproteobacteria; Sphingomonadales; Erythrobacteraceae.
GUUUGAUCCUGGCUCAGAACGAACGCUGGCGGCAUGCCUAACACAUGCAAGUCGAACGAACCCUUCGGGGUUAGUGGCGCACGGGUGCGUAACGCGUGGGAACCUGCCUUUAGGUUCGGAAUAACUCAGAGAAAUUUGAGCUAAUACCGGAUAAUGUCUUCGGACCAAAGAUUUAUCGCCUUUAGAUGGGCCCGCGUUAGAUUAGAUAGUUGGUGGGGUAAUGGCCUACCAAGUCGACGAUCUAUAGCUGGUCUGAGAGGAUGAUCAGCCACACUGGGACUGAGACACGGCCCAGACUCCUACGGGAGGCAGCAGUGGGGAAUAUUGGACAAUGGGCGAAAGCCUGAUCCAGCAAUGCCGCGUGAGUGAUGAAGGCCUUAGGGUUGUAAAGCUCUUUUACCAGGGAUGAUAAUGACAGUACCUGGAGAAUAAGCUCCGGCUAACUCCGUGCCAGCAGCCGCGGUAAUACGGAGGGAGCUAGCGUUGUUCGGAAUUACUGGGCGUAAAGCGCGCGUAUGCGGCUAUCCAAGUCAGGGGUGAAAUCCCGGAGCUCAACUCCGGAACUGCCCUUGAAACUAGGUAGCUAGAAUACUGGAGAGGUGAGUGGAAUUCCGAGUGUAGAGGUGAAAUUCGUA